AACGAACGCUGGCGGCGUGCCUAAGACAUGCAAGUCGGACGGUAAGGCCCCUUCGGGGGUACACGAGUGGCGCAAGGGUGAGUAACGCGUGGGUAACCUACCCUCGGGCUUGGGACAACUUCGGGAAACUGAAGCUAAUACCGGAUAAGACCACGGGAUCUCCGGAUCCUGCGGAAAAAGGUGGCCUCUUCUUGAAAGCUACCGCCUGAGGAUGGGCCCGCGUGCCAUUAGCUAGUUGGUGAGGUAACGGCUCACCAAGGCAUUGAUGGCUAGCUGGUCUGAGAGGAUGAUCAGCCACACUGGAACUGAGACACGGUCCAGACUCCUACGGGAGGCAG
RNAcentral lists this ribosomal RNA (338 nucleotides) under uncultured Pseudomonadota bacterium. RNAcentral describes it as "bacterial SSU rRNA". It matches the Rfam family "Bacterial small subunit ribosomal RNA", at positions 29 to 351 of the family's 1533-position model. Lineage: Bacteria; Pseudomonadati; Pseudomonadota. The record is from RNAcentral.